CUUUCUUUGCUGGCGACCGGCGCACGGGUGAGUAACACGUAUCCAACCUGCCCUUUACUCGGGGAUAGCCUUUCGAAAGAAAGAUUAAUACCCGAUGGUAUAAUCAGACCGCAUGGUUUGAUUAUUAAAGAAUUUCGGUUAUCGAUGGGGAUGCGUUCCAUUAGGCAGUUGGUGAGGUAACGGCUCACCAAACCUUCGAUGGAUAGGGGUUCUGAGAGGAAGGUCCCCCACAUUGGAACUGAGACACGGUCCAA
RNAcentral lists this ribosomal RNA (254 nucleotides) under uncultured bacterium. RNAcentral describes it as "partial 16S ribosomal RNA". It matches the Rfam family "Bacterial small subunit ribosomal RNA", at positions 79 to 334 of the family's 1533-position model. The record is from RNAcentral.